RNAcentral lists this ribosomal RNA (497 nucleotides) under uncultured bacterium. RNAcentral's name for it is "partial 16S ribosomal RNA". It matches the Rfam family "Bacterial small subunit ribosomal RNA", at positions 28 to 507 of the family's 1533-position model. The record is from RNAcentral.
GAUGAACGCUGGCGGCGUGCCUAAUGCAUGCAAGUCGAGCGAACAGACGAGGAGCUUGCUCCUUUGACGUUAGCGGCGGACGGGUGAGUAACACGUGGGUAACCUACCUAUAAGACUGGGAUAACUUCGGGAAACCGGAGCUAAUACCGGAUAAUAUUUCGAACCGCAUGGUUCGAUAGUGAAAGAUGGCUCUGCUAUCACUUAUAGAUGGACCUGCGCCGUAUUAGCUAGUUGGUAAGGUAACGGCUUACCAAGGCAACGAUACGUAGCCGACCUGAGAGGGUGAUCGGCCACACUGGAACUGAGACACGGUCCAGACUCCUACGGGAGGCAGCAGUAGGGAAUCUUCCGCAAAGGGCGAAAGCCUGACGGAGCAACGCCGCGUGAGUGAUGAAGGUCUUCGGAUCGUAAAACUCUGUUAUUAGGGAAGAACAAACGUGUAAGUAACUGUGCACGUCUUGACGGUACCUAAUCAGAAAGCCACGGCUAACUACGUG